GGCUACCAAAACCUUGCCAUGCAAACCCAAUACAGAGAUGAACAGGGUAAAACUUCACGGACUUAGAGGUGCUCAUAACCCCGAGCGGGGCGGUUUGCUACGCAGCCCCCUGAGGACUGUGGGCUUCCAGCCGGACGCAGAAGCAGGACUGAGGGGACACCAGCAUUUCAUUGACAAAUGCAGGCACUGGUGCAGAGUUUAGAUGGGGCUCUGGGAAGAUGAGGGAUAAGCACUGAAAUCACCUUGGUGAUCUGAACCUUGUGUCGUUCACUGCAAACUGCUCUGACCGUGACUUUAGUGCCAACCAACAGCUUUACCGCCGGCAGUGCCAGCUGAGCUUCUUGCCUCCUUCUCCUUCCCUCAGUAUGGUUUUGAAAUAACAUUUUAAUGGUGAAAGAAGACUCCAGAAGUUAACUUGAACGUUUAACUCCGGAACGGACUUCACGGUUCCCAGUCCCAAGCUAUUUACCCAUCCGUGGCUGGGCUUUCAGUUGACGUUAUUGACAGUUCAUCAAUCGCAUCCUGCCUUGCUGGUGGCCUUGGAUGCCUGCUUGCGCGCCUUGCCUUCUCUAUAUGAAGGCUUCAAAUCCUGGGUGUGGAGCAGCACCCCACCUUCACACCACACACCGACAGUAGGUGGAGGGGCUGGGGCUGGCCCCCCCUUUUUCCCGGAGGGCAGGGUUUCUCAGGCUCUUCUCUAGCGCCGUGCACACCCAAAUGCGUAGGCUUGCUGUGCAAUGCGUGUGAGGCUGCAGACAGCUCAGGUGAGGGAAGGAGCUGUUUCUGUCUGCUGAGGAAACCCUACCAGAGGGCUAAAAGCUGGGCUGGAUUUGCACAGGUGGCAGGAUGAUGUUUGGUGGAAAAGUGCUAGCUAGGUCCUACUUUGUAUCCCAUAAAAUCAGGAGUUCUUGGAUUAUGUUUCGUCUUCCUUUGACUUUUCAGUAGAUAAACCAAUGUUUAUUAGACUGUAGGGUAUAUGGACUGGCAGAAGCACUGACGUGGGUGUCCAGAGCUGUGCAGAUACGGGAUGCUCCCACGUGAGCGCUGGGGUGCUUUCACUCCGCUGCCUGCGAGCUGGGUGGUUAUUCCCCAGCCUUCUGGGUGUACCGUUCUCGUCACGGCUUCACCUGAGCGGGGUUUGAGGUACGUCUCGCGGCUUGAAUAGGAGCUGUAUCUGAGCUACGGCACUCAAACUGGGGAUUUCUGCUGUGGGAAAGACAACCAAAUAAAUAAAUAAGAAGUGAAGGAUGGAUGAGCUGGAAUGAGCUGUGAACUGACAGCUUUGUGACUGGUCUUGACUUAUUUCCUUUUUGUGGUCUAAAGCCAAGUGCCUCAUAAAUUCUGAAGACAUCAAAACUGUAACUAACAUAACUGAAACCAUCCUUGGAUUGCUGGAAAUAUACAGAGCACUGACUGUAACUAGAAGACAAAAGACAGCAAAAAGGGAAUGAGUUCCCUCCUCAAAGUGCUAUUUUUGGGUACUUCAGUUUUGACAUUACAGGCCGAAUCAGCAUACUGACACAAUUGUGGGCAUUCGGGGUCACACUGUGACUGUCCUACAAUUUAAAGUGGACCUAGAGAUGAAAAUAUUUUCACAGUUUAUGGUUCUGGGGUAUUUUACUGACUGUAAACAUCCUGGGAUUCUCAAACAGAUACCUACUAACCCUCUCACGCUCUGUCAGCCCUGAGGUGACACAUGGUAGACACCAUUUGGCAGCCACUGAGCAGCAUGCUGGUCUUGGGGGUUGUUUUGUGCUUUGCUCACUGGGUAGACAGGAGGGCUGUGGUCUUUUGGGGGGAGCAGAACAUAAAAUGAGAGCAGCUGCAUGGGGUCUGGUCAAAGCCCCAUCCAGUCCGGGACCAUUUUUCUUAGGACUGGCCAAAAAUGGGAUGAGCCAUGCGAAUGGGUCAAAUGGUUUGUAGCUAAGAGGAGUCCUGAGGGUUACUGAGAGGGUUACUAGCUUUGUGCUUCAGAGUCUGUGGUGCAGCUGUCUGCCAUGAGUCUGUCCUAGAUCUCUUUAAUCCAUAUAAGCAUCUGCAACACCCUCUGGCAGGACUCGCAGCUUAACUCUCUAUUAAGGUUAUUUAGUGAAGAGCUGGGGAAUUAGAAAAUGCACUACGGUAACAGUACUCCAGCUGCAACUUGAUAUCUAGCAUCGUGCAACGACCAACAAACCUUCUCCAGGGUACGUGCGAGCGAGAGCUGCUAACUUUCCAGUGGCAACAGUUCACUGUGCGAUUGUGCGUAGCAAUUUCCUGGCUGCCAUCAAUUCCUUUUGUUGUUUCCUCAGAAGAGCCACAGGGCAGCUGACACACAGCAAUGAAUUCCAGAAAAGCACUAGCUUUUCAGAUGGCCGGGUUCUGGGUGUUUUCCCCCAGCUUCACAGAAGUUGUCUCUAAAUAAUAGUUUUGUACCAUGCAUUAGAAGCUUUGGAGUAGAUUCCCAGGAGCCCCACACUUGCUAAGCUUAAGUCUGACAUCCCCAGCAGGACAAAUUGCUUACCCAGAACUGGAGAUGACUGAAGACUCCGUACAUCUAUUACAAGUCUCCCACAGCUAAUUCUGACGCGUAUGUACACGUUUUUGUGCAUCAAGACCAGGUCGGUCCAAAAGCUUACUUCCUCUUGUCUGGGGGUGGAACCAGUCUGUUGUGGCUUGUUCGGAUGGGGCAAACUCCCGACUGCUGGCCUGUCAACGCACUUUCUGUAUUUGUAGAUGAGGUAGGCUGUAGGUCAGGCAUCUGAAUCCUUCCUGGUAGUUAUCUUAGUUUUACUAUUUUUAUAAACCUAUGCCAAACAAGCAGGAAUUACAAAAUAUUUGACUUCCUGCCCCAAAUCAAGCAGUCUUGUGGUACGUCUGGGUGCAAGACAAGCAGGAUGCGGUUCCUUUACAGGGCUUCCUGCUCCCCUUCCAGCCUCGCUUUCUGUCCUUCUGGAUGUAGUUCACCUACCUUGUCUGUGUAUGCCAGCACUGUAUUCUGUCUGCAUUCAUCAAAUCUCUUAUCAGAACAUGCUCGAUCUUUAAACAAUUUAUUUCACUGAGUAAUUUUAGAUAUUAGAAACCUGCUUCAAAUUCAGCCGGGAAGGUACCACGUCUCCUCACCCGGAGAAGCAUCUAGAGACUCACCUGGGAGUAAAAAUGAAACAGAGUUGGAGACCUGGCUUAAGUGGUCUGAGCCAUCUUCCUGACCAGCGAUGGCCCAAGACAGGGAACCUUCUUCAGUGCCACAGAUCUUUCAUACACAGACACCGCUGUGGGAACAUGCCUGAGGGAGCCAUCUUUAUAACGGUAAAUUAAAUGGUGCCAGGACAUGAGCCCAGAAUAGAAACCUGCCUGUCUAUCCUGUUGGUUUGUUAGGACGGGCCACAGCAUGCUUCUGGCCAGGCUGACAGCUUUCCCUGGCAGGGCUCGGGAGCUGGUGCGGGACAUGUUCAGUAGCAGGUUUGGAUGCUGCUGCCCUGGUUUGGAAGGUAAGGCAGCCUGACAGUACACACAGGCCACAUCUGUAAGAAACAAAACUAAUCAGUUCUGAAUCUUCGCCCUAGUUCUAGGUCUGUGAACCCCAUUCUCCUGACCCCAGCGCUGAAUCUGACCCAUCUGAUAGUAUUACUUUUCCUCUUGGCUUCUUUUUUUUUUUUCCCUUCUUCCUUUUCUUCCUCUUCUUCUGCCCUUUCCUUCCUGGGAAAAGAACUAACCUUUCU
Molecule: long non-coding RNA, 3701 nt
Organism: Aquila chrysaetos chrysaetos
Lineage: Eukaryota; Metazoa; Chordata; Aves; Accipitriformes; Accipitridae
Exons: 2
Source: RefSeq, a predicted model, not a curated record